Xylariales sp. No.14919 is the source of this 100-nucleotide non-coding RNA. Lineage: Eukaryota; Fungi; Ascomycota; Sordariomycetes; Xylariales. The record is from the annotation of a GenBank genome assembly.
ACGAUCAUAGCCAUAGGAAAACUCGGGAUCCCGUCCGCUCUCCCAUAGAUAAGUCGGUGAGCGUAGGGGCCAUGCUACUGGAAGGGCAUUAGUACUUGCA